Molecule: unclassified non-coding RNA, 1248 nt
Filed under: Hevea brasiliensis (rubber tree)
Lineage: Eukaryota; Viridiplantae; Streptophyta; Magnoliopsida; Malpighiales; Euphorbiaceae
Source: RNAcentral
ACUAUAUGUAGAGCUUGUAUGAGUGUAUAUAAUAAGUAGGCCACUCUCUAACUAUGUCAACUUAAGUGGCAGAUACCUCUGAACAGAAGACAAUUUCAUAAUUGAGCUGCAGAGAGAGAGAGAGAGAUGGAUGUCGCGAUAUCCUUGGAAUUGGAGCCACUAAAGCAGAGGAAUGAUCAUGGAAUGUUCUUUUCUAGUGGUAAUUUUAUCUGCAGUUUGAAUGCAAGAGACAGGAAAAUUGUUUGUGUCACCGGUGGAAACUCCUACUUUGGUUCUCACUUGAUCAAGAAGCUUUUGGCAUAUGGUUACCUUGUUCGAGUUAUUAUUCAAAAUCAAGCUAAUCUUGAGGAUAUGAAGGAGCUAAUGAGGGAAGAAAUGAAGCAACUGGAGAGUGUUGUGGUGGCAAGAAUGGAUGAUUUAGAUAGCCUCUGCAAUGCUUUUAGAGGUUGUCAUGUUGUUUUCCACACAUCAUCUUUCAUUGAUCCACGAGGGAUCUCUGGAUACACGGAACGAAUGGCAUUUAUUGAAGCUGAAGCAGCAAAGAAUGUCAUAGAAGCUUGUGGCAGGGCAGCACAUGUUAAAAGAUGCGUUUUCACCUCUUCUCUACUUGCAUGCAUCUGGAAAAAUGACCUGCCAAACCUCAUAGAUGAGAGCUCUUGGAGUGAUGAGACAUUCUGUAGAGAACACAAGCUUUGGGUAGCAUUGGCCAAGACCAGGGCAGAAAAGGCUGCUUGGUGGAAAGCAAGGGAGAUGAAGGUGAAACUUGUUACCGUAUGCCCUGGACUUCUCAUGGCACCAUCUUUCCCAAACGCUCACCUUGAAACUUCUGUCCCGUACCUCAAAGGUGGUGAUUUCAUGCUAAGACAAGGAACUCUAGCAACUGAAGAUGCAAGUAAAGUGGCAGAAGCACAUAUUUACGUCUAUGAAGAUAUGGAUUAUGGAGGGUGUGGGAGAUAUAUUUGCUUUGGAAAAAUAGUUGGAACAUUGGAAGAGGCCAUACAACUUGAAAAUGGGUUGAAUAUAGGUGGCCACUUGUCUGGGUAUCAAAGCCCUCUUGCAGUAGCAGUUGAUAAUAAUGAAAUUCCUCCCAAAAUUACUAAGUCAAAGCUCAGUAGAUUACUAUUCCAUGCGUCACAACGCCUUCCUUGCAAACAGUGAAUAGUAAUAUUUGCCUCAAAAUACGUAUAUAUAGCAAUUAGAGCAAUUUAUAUAAAGGUAACGUUCUAGACAAUAAAAUUUGCGUCUAAA